GUUCCCGCGAGGGCGCGUCUGAAGGAAGCCCGAGUGCAAAACUGUGAGCCGACGAACAGAAAUGGCAUAUAAGGCCGAGUCUCCGGGUAAGCUAUCACCACAUAACGAAGCCCUGGGUUCGGGAGAUACGGUAAAUGCCGCGGUUGUGCAGCGACAGUUCACGUU
RNAcentral lists this non-coding RNA (165 nucleotides) under Desulfosarcina cetonica. The record is from RNAcentral. Lineage: Bacteria; Pseudomonadati; Thermodesulfobacteriota; Desulfobacteria; Desulfobacterales; Desulfosarcinaceae.